AGACAGCAGUAGCCGCGGUAAUACAGAGGGUGCGAGCGUUAAUCGGAUUUACUGGGCGUAAAGCGUGCGUAGGUGGCUUCUUAAGUCGGAUGUGAAAUCCCUGAGCUUAACUUAGGAAUUGCAUUCGAUACUGGGAAGCUAGAGUAUGGGAGAGGAUGGUAGAAUUCCAGGUGUAGCGGUGAAAUGCGUAGAGAUCUGGAGGAAUACCGAUGGCGAAGGCAGCCAUCUGGCCUAAUACUGACGCUGAGGUACGAAAGCAUGGGGAGCAAACAGGAUUAGAUACCCGCGUAGUCCCUGUCUCUUAUAC
RNAcentral lists this ribosomal RNA (307 nucleotides) under uncultured bacterium. RNAcentral describes it as "partial 16S ribosomal RNA". It matches the Rfam family "Bacterial small subunit ribosomal RNA", at positions 506 to 807 of the family's 1533-position model. The record is from RNAcentral.